GUGAAAGCUUUAUUACUCCGUACCACACCGAGCACACACAGGCCGUCAAUACCCCAUCCAACCCCAAGAUUUGAAAAAUGGCAGAAAAAAAAAAGAAACUCACAAGAGUGUUACAAAAUCUUGUAUUAAUCAUCUCACUCACUUUCAAUAUAAUGAUAUGAAAUAUAGCCGUGACUUUUGGUGAGACUGAGGAGAUGGGUAAUAAAUACAUUUUGAAAUCACAAGGGUGAUCUUACACUUUAACAACAUUUGGAAACUGUACAUGAGCAAAUAACUGCAUUGCAACCGUCAGACUGUUUGCAUUGAAUCCUUCGUAUACCUGGAAGCUUAAAUACAUACAACAAACGUGCCAACUUCAGAAAAGACAAAGUUUAGUUUUUCUUAAAAAAUAUGCAUUGCAUGGCGACAUUAACUAACCAAAAAUAGUUCUCUCUGCACUCUUUUUAUACAGAAAAAAAAAACAAAAAAAACCAGGCCCCAAAUCUUGCAUGCUUUUUACAACGAAAGUAUUCAGGACUUUGCGUGCAAAAAAAAUAAUAAAAAAAAAUUAGCUGAAGGCAAUUUUUUUCUUCUUUUUGAAAAGGAUACUUCCAAUAUCUGCCUAAAUACACACAGGGGGCUCCACGAACCAUGUGAGUGCCGGGCGUGUAACUCAUUGAGACUCCGUCCAUGCACAGCCCUUGGUCUCAAAACGUCAAGGGAGGAAGAUUUUUAUUUUUCGGUUAAAGGUCCUAUUUUCUCUCUAUUCCUCCCAGAGGAAUACACAUUUGCCCUCAACCAUUUUGUAGCCAGAGGGAUCUGACAAAAACAGAAGCCCCUAUCUGGCAACAACUGGAAGCAAAGAAAUACAAAAAAAAUAAAAAUGUGCAUUGCAAACUCUGACAAUUUUUUUUAUAUAUUUGUUUCCUACAAAAUUAGUGUUCUUGGAACGAUGUGCAAAUUUCAGACUUUUUGCAUGACUCAUGGACACAUUCACACAAAAAGAAAAGGCGAGCCAGGUGUCCUUGCAGUAAACGUACCAAUCCAGAGAUAAUGCGUCUUUAGAUGUUAAACUGUGAGCUGUGAUAGGCCGGCAGCAGAGAGAUGGGAUUCAGGCAAAAAUAGGCAACGUUGCCGGUUUGGUCUAAAUUUGACAAUUCCGCCACUGGCUUACAGUUUCAUGAUUUAGACAACACAGAGCGGCUCUCGUGGGUUAUUUAACCCCUUAAGGACCAAACUUCUGGAAUAAAAGGCAAUCAUAACAUGUCACACGUCAUGUGUCCUUAAGGGGUUAAAAGCAAAAAGGGCUAACUGUACAUUAAAAGACAGCUUUAAUGCUGCUGAACUACAACCCCCAUGAGUCUCUGCCAGCAACCAGCAGCCGCUGUUACAAGUCAAGUGCCGCAGUACAGUAAUAAGGGCAAUUACUGACUAUUCACCUUUGAGGUAUCACGGCAUGACAAUCCUACUCUGAGACUGCAGCUCCUAUCAUGCUCAUCCAGCUUUGUGCAACAAACGCAAGAUCUCAUUCCAAUUAAAAAGGACCCAGUGAUGGAUUCUGUGUAUAAUUAUUUAAUUCUCUUCCAUAAAGUGUGUGAGGAUACAGGAAAUUCUUCAACUGGUUUAGAAGUGAAGUUCAGCUGACUAUUGAAACAAAAGUCUCAUUAUCCUCAGCAGUUUUGGGUCCAGAUGUGAAACAAAUCAGAUGGCAGCUUAGUUUGCAGAGCCUGCAGUCUCAGACCAAGUUCGCAUUAACCCCAUAAGUGCCAGGAGGGUUGACACAUAUCCCUUUAGAACAGCAAGAGAUCCACUUUGUGCUGACGUCAAUUCCCAGUUACUUUGUAACAGGACAGCUCAAGGCUCAAGGCCAAUACUUAUCAUAUAAUACUGAAUAUAGCUCCCAUCAUCCUAAACCGUGCUGUGCCUGGGUUGCAUAGGGGACAAAAGGCAGCACUAACUGCCUGUCCUGCAUUUUCAAUGUCUGGCUUAUUGACCCACCGUGCAGGAAUGAAGAGCCACAAUUUAGGAAGUGCUCCAUUUAAAAGGCCAAGGGGAAACAGACUACGUUUCUUAUCCUGGAUAAUGAGAAAUGUAGUCAAACCUCACAUCAAUACCAGACACUGCUUCCUUUAAAAGAACUGCCUUCCAGGGGUGGUGGUGGGUGGGGGAGGGCAAUCCCCCCUUUUAUUCACCCCAUGCCCCCUGGAAUAAUUUGAGGAGAGCAAGCGAGGAGUGUCACCAAGCCCCGGAGAGUGCAGUGCUCCAGCAGGGAGCACUCCAUAAUUGAAACCCUAGUUAUUCAAUGAAAUGCCAGCAAUCUACCUAAAAAAAAAGCACAAAGGUUGAAUUUUUGGUAAAUCUCCAAACAGACCCACGACUGUAUAAACCACUAUGGAUUAAAGCACCAGAGAUAAGGCAAAUCGAUAUCGAAAUAACAGCCAGCAUAAGGGAUACAUAAACACAACUUCUAGUAUCUGUCACAGGACAACGAGAGCAGACAAAUAUCAGAAAGACGAUUUUUAGACGGGAGCAAAAGAGACAAAGAAAGGCACUGCCGCUUUAAAUAAACCUUCACAGCCUUCACACGAGUAUAACACACAUAACCUGUAUAAAUAUAUCCCCUUUCAUUUUAAUUUUCAGCCCUGCAAUCAAUACAGCGCUAAUGGGAAAUGCAUUAUCAAACAAUCAAAAAAUAUUGAAAGUUAAAGUGUUCGUUUUAUUUAUUUUUUCGGUUUCAACACGGACCAAAUAGAAAUUAUCUACAAAAUGACCAAAUACUAUGGUUUUAUAUUUAAAAAAAAUAUAUUUACAUAACACAUGGUAGUUAAUGAGAAAGUGUUUAUGGUUACCAGCCACAGAAUAUCAUGAAAAAUAUAUAAAAUAAGAGAAUUACGAUCAGAUCAUCCGGCCAUUCUUACUGGUGAGUGGAAUUACCAGGGGCGAGAGGAGCUUAAGGAACCACUUCCCAGAACCCUUUGCUGCAAGUAACGCACAGUGAUUAGUUCCUCUCUCGUCUCGCACAGAGAAGACAGAACGUCUCGGUAAUCCGCUCUCCAACCAUUCAUUUCAAACUCAAACCUCGUAACGCACUUUUUAAGGAACAGCAAAUGGAACCGACCCUUAAAAUCAGGGGGUGUCGGACUGCAGACCCCAAGAUGUUUGUGGACCCAAAAGUCAGUAUUUGGCAAAGGAUUAUGGAAAUUGCAGUCUAAAUAUAUCAACACCCGGUGCUUAACAUAACCUGUGUUAAAAAGAACAGUCGCUGCCUUUAGCAAAGAUAGGAGUUACGGGAUGGACAGAGAAGGGAAUGGAUUUAUGGGGGUCUGUACCCGGAUUACUCAAUAAAUGUAUUAAUGGGGGUCCGUACCCGUGUAAUUCAAUAAAUGGAUUAAUGGGGGUCCGUACCAGUGUUAUUAAAUAAAUGGAUUAAUGAGGGUCCGUACCCGGGUUACUCAAUGAAUGAAUUUAUGGUGGUCUGUACCCGGGUUACUGAAUGAAUGGAUUAAUGGGGGUCCGUACCUGUGUUAUUAAAUAAAUGGAUUAAUGGGGGUCCGUACCAGUGUUAUUCGGUAAAUGGAUUAAUGGGGGUCCAUACCCGGGUUACUCAAUUAAUGGAUUAAUGGGGGUCCGUACCCAGGUUACUCAAUAAAUGGAUUAAUGGGGGUCCGUACCCGGGUUACUCAAUGAAUGGAUUUAUGGGGGUCCAUACCCAGGUUACUCAAUGAAUGGAUUUAUGGGGGUCCGUACCCAGGUUACUCAAUGAAUGGAUUUAUGGGGGUCCGUACCCGGGUUACUCAAUGAAUGGAUUUAUGGGGGUCCGUACCCAGGUUACUCAAUGAAUGGAUUUAUGGGGGUCCGUACCCAGGUUACUCAAUAAAUGGAUUUAUGGGGGUUUGUACCCGGGUUACUCAAUGAAUGGAUUUAUGGGGGUCCGUACCCGGUUACUCAAUGAAUGGAUUUAUGGGGGUCGGUACCCUGGUUACUCAAUGAAUGGAUUUAUGGGGGUCCGUACCCAGGUUACUCAAUGAAUGGAUUUAUGGGGGUCCGUACCCGGGUUACUCAAUAAAUGGAUUUAUGGGGGUUUGUACCCAGGUUACUCAAUGAAUGGAUUUAUGGGGGUCCGUACCCGGUUACUCAAUGAAUGGAUUUAUGGGGGUCGGUACCCAGGUUACUCAAUGAAUGGAUUUAUGGGGGUCUGUACCCAGGUUACUCAAUGAAUGGAUUUAUGGGGGUCCGUACCCAGGUUACUCAAUGAAUGGAUUUAUGGGGGUUUGUACCCGGGUUACUCAAUGAAUGGAUUUAUGGGGGUCCGUACCC
RNAcentral lists this long non-coding RNA (4296 nucleotides) under Pelobates cultripes (western spadefoot toad). Lineage: Eukaryota; Metazoa; Chordata; Amphibia; Anura; Pelobatidae. The record is from RNAcentral.